This 613-nucleotide ribosomal RNA is filed under the name uncultured bacterium. RNAcentral's name for it is "bacterial SSU rRNA". It matches the Rfam family "Bacterial small subunit ribosomal RNA", at positions 131 to 737 of the family's 1533-position model. The record is from RNAcentral.
CUCCGCAGGGGGAUAACCCGGAGAAAUCCGGACUAAUACCGCGUGGUACACUUGUGGGGCAUCCCACGGGUGUUAAAAGGAAGUGAUUCCGGCGGAGGAUGGGCAUGCGGCGCAUUAGCUUGUUGGCGGGGUAACGGCCCACCAAGGCGACGAUGCGUAGGGGUUCUGAGAGGAAGGUCCCCCACACUGGUACUGAGACACGGACCAGACUCCUACGGGAGGCAGCAGUGAGGAAUAUUGGUCAAUGGGCGGGAGCCUGAACCAGCCAAGUCGCGUGAGGGAAGACGGUCCUAUGGAUUGUAAACCUCUUUAGGCGGGGAGCAAUGCCGGGCACGUGUGCCCGGAGGGAGAGUACCCGUAGAAUAAGCAUCGGCUAACUCCGUGCCAGCAGCCGCGGUAAUACGGAGGAUGCGAGCGUUAUCCGGAUUUAUUGGGUUUAAAGGGUGCGUAGGCGGAUUUUUAAGUCAGCGGUAAAAUGUCCGGGCUCAACCCGGGCCGGCCGUUGAAACUGGGGAUCUUGAGUGGGCGAGAAGUAUGCGGAAUGCGUGGUGUAGCGGUGAAAUGCAUAGAUAUCACGCAGAACUCCGAUUGCGAAGGCAGCAUACCGGCGCCC